AAACCACGAAGAAGACGAAAACGAAAGUAAUGUUAAGCUGCAGAAGUAAACAAAGAAGCUACUAUUGCAAAUGAAGAUGUCAGAAUGACCAAAGGAGACAGAUCAAAUCGCUUCAAAAGUCAAACACGCAGCAGUUUAAUGGCACGGAAUAUUUUACCAGACACUGGACUUUUGUUUGGAUUCUUGCGACGUGACAAACAACUAUCGUAAAAGACAAAAAAAGUGCUUCAGAUACUUCUCAGUUCUCUUUUUAGUGCACAAGACUGUCAAACUGAACGACUGAGACUGAUUUUUACAAACCAGUGUUGAGCUGUUCAGCUGCAGUAUGACAGAGGAGCGAGGAAAGGACUCUCCGUCUGAGAUGAGUCUCUCACAGACACAGAGUGUAAGAUCAGGUUCACAUGUGUCCAGCUCUGUGUCUGUGAAGAGUGACCGUUCAAAAGGUGACAUGCCGAACCUCAGUGAGAAAAAACCAUCAUCUACCAAAAGUGUGAGAUCAGGUUCACAUGUGUCCAGCUCUGUGUCUGUGAAGAGUGACCGUUCAAAAGGUGACAUGCCGAACUUCAGUGAGAAAAAAAUGUCAACUACAAAAAGUGUAAGAUCAGGUUCACAUGUGUCCAGCUUUGUGUCUGUGAAGAGUGAGCGUUCAAAAGGGGACAUGCCAAACUUCAGUGAGAAAAAACCAUCAACUACAAAAAGGUAUUUCAUGUGCUGUACAUUAUAGCGUUGCAUUGUUUCUCUGCUGUGUUUUUUGUGAGAGAACCAGACUGUAAGAAAUUAUAGUGUGCCUCGACCCAGC
RNAcentral lists this long non-coding RNA (799 nucleotides) under Sinocyclocheilus grahami. RNAcentral's name for it is "lncRNA (ENSSGRG00000009538.1)". The record is from RNAcentral. Lineage: Eukaryota; Metazoa; Chordata; Actinopteri; Cypriniformes; Cyprinidae.